CACGAAGAUAAAAGGGAGGAGGAGGAGGAGAAAGAAAGAAAAGGUGAAAAGACAGGUAUCUGUUUGUAGUACAGUAGUAGUAGUGGAGGCAAUGUUCUAGAUUUACAUGAUAACAGCAAAUAAGUAGCAGCUAAACUCGGCAAUUCACAGUGUAAAAUGGGCCCGUGAAAACAGCAGCAGUGCAUUUAGAAAAUGUGCGUUAUAUCAGUGACUAUAUUGGUGUUUCAGCCCACCACAUGUUCGAGGGACACAUACACGAGUCUCAUGGCCACAAAACAACAGCCUCAUCUGAGCACGGAGAGAUAAGACAUGAGGAUGGGCAUACAGAAAGAAAAGCAGAAAGGACAGUUUCCCACAAGUCUGAGGGACACAUACAUGAGACUCAUGGCCACAAAACCACAACCUCACCUGAGCACGGGGAGAGAAGACAUGAGGAGGCACAUACAGAAAGAAAAGCUGAAUGGAGAGUCCCCCACAAGUCUGAGGAGCACGUACACGAGACGCACCAUGGCCACAAAACCACAACCUCAUCUGAGCACGGGGAGCAUGGGGUGAAAAGGCAUGAAGACGCACAUAAAGAAAGAGGAGUCUCCCACAACUCUGAGGAACAUGCGCAUGAGACUCAUGGCCACAAAACCACAACCUCAUCUGAGCAUGGAGAGAGAAGGCACGAGGAUGCUCACACAGAAAGAAAAGCUGAAUGGAGAGUCCCCCACAAGUCUGAGGAGCAUGUACACGAGACACAUCAUGGCCACAAAACAACAACUUCUGUGCAUGGAGAGGAAACGGAGGAAAAAGAAAGGAAAGUCUCCCACAAGCCUGAGGGACACAUACAUGAGACUCAUGGCCACAAAACAACAUUAUUUGAGCAUGGAGAAGGAGUGCAUAAAGAAACAAAAGUCUCGCACAAGUUUGAGGAACAUGGACAUGAGAGUCAUGGCCACAAAACAACAUUGUUUGAGCAUGGAGAAGGAGUGCAUAAAGAAACGAAAGUCUCGCACAAGUCUGAGGAACAUGGACAUGGGAGUCAUGGCCACAAAACAACAACCUCACCUGAGCACGGGGAAGAGAAACAUAACGAAAGAAAAGGUAUCGCUUGUAUAUGUAGCGGUGGCAAUGUGGUAGUUUACCUGUAGUAACAGACAAACUUUCAGCACAAUUUAAACUCAUAGUGAAAAUUGCAAACAGUAGAAAUGCAUCUUAACUUUGGAUUCCUAUAUUGAUGGCAAUGGCUGUUUCAGUCUCGCACAAGUCUGAGGAACAUGGACAUGGGAGUCAUGGCCACAAAACAACAACCUCACCUGAGCACGGGGAAGAGAAACAUAACGAAAGAAAAGUCUCGCACAAGUCUGAGGAACAUGGACAUGAGAGUCAUGGCCACAAAACAACAACCUUAUCUGAGCACGGUGAAGAGGAUCAUAAAGGAAGUAAAGGUAUCUGUCUUAUAUGUAGUGGUGUAGAUUUAGAUACUGUAGUUGUGUUGCAUUAAAUAUGCAGUAGAUAAACCUUCCUCACAAGCUAAACUUGGCAACUCCAGUGUUAAACUGGGCCAGUAUAAACAGCAGAAAUAUAUCUGAAUUCAUCUAUCUGCAUCUGUUCAACUAUAUAAUAGUUUAGUGGAUAAACUUAGGCUGUAGAGUAAAAUCUUAAUCUCGCAUUUUCUAUUUGAGAUACUAGGGGUGAGAAAAGGGAAGGAAGGGAGGACCAAUUAAAAACUCAGAUAUUUUAAUCAUAAGAUGUUUCUGCUUGUUACGUUCAUGACUAUUGUGGUGCAACAGUCCUCCACAAGUCUGAGGAACAUGAACAUGAGACUCACGGCCACAGAACAACUGGGCACGGGGAGGAAAGAAAAGCUGAAAGGAAAGGUAUCUGUUUUACCAGUAGUGGUGGAGAUCUUCUCAUAAAAUGUAUCUCAUAUCAUAUCACCUCAAUUUUGCUCAUUGUGGUGUUUAAGUUUCCCACAAUUUUGAGGGACACGUACAUGAAACUCACGGCCACAGAACAACCACCUCAUCUGAA
This is an RNA transcript of Seriola aureovittata, 2019 nucleotides long. It is a transcript of the gene named histidine-rich glycoprotein-like, with no coding region annotated. The record is from RefSeq and is a predicted model, not a curated record. NCBI's taxonomy places the organism in Eukaryota, Metazoa, Chordata, Actinopteri, Carangiformes, Carangidae. The transcript has 9 exons.